ACUAAUAUCUAUGUUCAUUGGUUGUUGCACUUCACCCUCGCUGCCUUCACCUGUUCGAUUGUAAGUGGUGCUCUCGCCGAAAGGACAAACUUUACCGUGUACACGCUGUUUACGGUAUUGAUGUCAGGCUUCAUUUACCCCGUCGUUACUCAUUGGUGUUGGCACGAGGAAGGCUGGCUCAAGAAAGGCGACGAAGAAACUCUUGGAGAAGGUGUCUCUUUUCAGGAUUUUGCAGGCAGUGGUGUAAUUCAUGUCACUGCAGGAACCAUGGCUUUGGUAGGCUCAGCAGUAAUUGGAUCAAGAUCUGGAAGAUUUGAACGUGGUAAACCAGUUCCUAUUGGUGGACAUACUGUUCCGGUAAGAAUUUUUUUUAAUCAUCGUAUUCGUAAAUAUAUAUUUAGCCAUCUUGAAUCAUGUGCAUUAUGGC
Molecule: long non-coding RNA, 427 nt
Organism: Dendronephthya gigantea
Lineage: Eukaryota; Metazoa; Cnidaria; Anthozoa; Malacalcyonacea; Nephtheidae
Exons: 3
Source: RefSeq, a predicted model, not a curated record